CCGCACGCGCGCUAACACUGACGGGUUCAUCGAGCUAAGCGUUUGUUACCUUGACUGACAGGUCUGGGGAAUCUUUGGAAUGCCCGUCGUGCUGGGGAUAGACCCUUGGAAUUAUGGAUUUGAACGGAGGAAUUCCUAGUAAACGCAAGUCAUCAAGCUUGCAUUGAUUACGU
RNAcentral lists this ribosomal RNA (173 nucleotides) under uncultured eukaryote. RNAcentral's name for it is "partial 18S ribosomal RNA". It matches the Rfam family "Eukaryotic small subunit ribosomal RNA", at positions 1487 to 1650 of the family's 1831-position model. The record is from RNAcentral.